This 750-nucleotide long non-coding RNA is filed under the name Mytilus galloprovincialis (Mediterranean mussel). Lineage: Eukaryota; Metazoa; Mollusca; Bivalvia; Mytilida; Mytilidae. The record is from RNAcentral.
UUCAAAGUAAGGUCCUGUUGGUAAGUUUCUGCAGUAAACAUAGUAUAUAUUUAACUACUAGUAUAUAAAUUAAAAGCAAAAUAUCAUCAAGGUAACAGCAUUUUAAAAUUUUAAUCAAUUUAAAGUAAUUCAGACAGAUAUUUGCUUUGGUCAUAAACUAUGAUUCAUAACAAUAUGAAAAAGUCCGAUAAUAAAGGGGGGCAAUUGGGACCUGUAUGAAUACCUGCAACCUGUCAGUAAACUUUAUUGCCAAAACUAACAAAGAUGUUGCCAAGAUGUAUAUUUAAAGCUAUAAUCAUCUUAUUACAGUUCCAAUAAGUAUAUAUAGCAAGUUUCCUUUUUUCGUCACAGAAGUAGUCCUUAUAUAGCUUGUAGCAAAUAAAUCUGCAACCAGAUUUUUCAAAGGAUCAUUUAAUUAAAUAACACAAUUUCUGUUUGAUAAGAUUCUGUGGUUGUGUAAUGUAUCGUCGUGAAAAUCAUAGCUGGCAAUUGAAUUGAAAGACCAGACCAACAAAAGCAUGUUAUGUAUCCAAAACAUCCAAAGAUAAAUAUAACCCAAAAAUAGCGAAUUCCAUCAUUUUCAUACGCACUAUAACAAAAACAAAUAACUAGUUCUUUCAUCGAAGUAAGUAACUAGUGAACUUUACAGAAAGAUAAGGCAUACUUACUUUUACACGAAAUAAAAUGAAGUUUGAACAGGUUUCAUUUGUAGUUCAGGCAACUUAUACAUAGCAGGUACUUUUAUUUUUU